AUUGGACGCUGGCGGCAGGCCUAACACAUGCAAGUCGAGCGGAUGAAGGGAGCUUGCUCCUGGAUUCAGCGGCGGACGGGUGAGUAAUGCCUAGGAAUCUGCCUGGUAGUGGGGGAUAACGUCCGGAAACGGGCGCUAAUACCGCAUACGUCCUGAGGGAGAAAGUGGGGGAUCUUCGGACCUCACGCUAUCAGAUGAGCCUAGGUCGGAUUAGCUAGUUGGUGGGGUAAAGGCCUACCAAGGCGACGAUCCGUAACUGGUCUGAGAGGAUGAUCAGUCACACUGGAACUGAGACACGGUCCAGACUCCUACGGGAGGCAGCAGUGGGGAAUAUUGGACAAAGGGCGAAAGCCUGAUCCAGCCAUGCCGCGUGUGUGAAGAAGGUCUUCGGAUUGUAAAGCACUUUAAGUUGGGAGGAAGGGCAGUAAGUUAAUACCUUGCUGUUUUGACGUUACCAACAGAAUAAGCACCGGCUAACUUCGUG
RNAcentral lists this ribosomal RNA (484 nucleotides) under uncultured bacterium. RNAcentral's name for it is "partial 16S ribosomal RNA". It matches the Rfam family "Bacterial small subunit ribosomal RNA", at positions 30 to 507 of the family's 1533-position model. The record is from RNAcentral.